AUGGCGACGACCCGCGUGAGCCUGCUCCUCCUGCUAGCAGUUGCGCUCGCCGGCUCUGUUGCCGGGGCAUCGGCCUUCACCUGCACGUCGGGUCCUUGCUACAACGGCACGGCCGCUUUCUACGGCGACGCCGACGGCGCGGGGAAUGAAGCUGGAGUAUGCGGUUACGGGCCAGCGGUGGCCAAGCCGCCGUUCAACGCCAUGGUUUUUGCAGCAAGAGAUUACUCGCGGACCGCCGUGGGAUGCGGCAGAUGCUUCAACAUAACCUGUCGACACCCCGUGUGCAAUCCUGAUGGAGUCACGGUAACGUUCGCCGACUACUGCAGCGGCGGACCGUGCGUCGACAACGACGUCAUUGAGAUGAGCGGCCACGCGUUUUCCGCGAUAGCCCUGCCGGGCCGAGAAUCCGAGCUGCGCGCGUCACCCACUGUUCCUGUAACUUACCAACUAGUUGACUGCCGCUACUCAUCCAGCAUGGCCUACCUCGUCGACCCGACCGCGACAUCGGAGCGCUUCACUGUCGUACUCCUGUAUGUGCCAGGGGAUGCCUACCCCGGCCUGCUGACUGUUCACUUCAAAGAUGAGUCGAGCGAGGACUGGGUGGAUGCUGAUCCCGUUGGUCGCUAUAGGCUCCCCAAAUUCACAGCCACUAGGAAGAUGGUAGCCCCAAUUACGAUCAAGGUGGAAGGUCACUAUCUGAUUGGGCCAGCGCCGGAGAACCCCACCUGGAGUGUCACGGCGGCAGAUGUCAUCCCCGUCGGCUGGCACGGGGGGAAGACCUACUACGCGGCCUGA
This 795-nucleotide ribosomal RNA is filed under the name Triticum aestivum (bread wheat). Its description in RNAcentral is "partial small subunit ribosomal RNA". Lineage: Eukaryota; Viridiplantae; Streptophyta; Magnoliopsida; Poales; Poaceae. The record is from RNAcentral.